AACGAACGCUGGCGGCAUGCCUAACACAUGCAAGUCGAACGAGACCGUCGGGUCUCGUGGCGCACGGGUGCGUAACGCGUGGGAAACUGCGCUUAGGAUCGGAAUAACUCCUCGCAAGGGGUGCUAAUUCAGGCUGAGGUACUCGGACCAAUGGUUUAUCGCCUUUGGGUGGGCCGGCGUUGGUUUAGCGCGUUGGUAGGGUAAAAGCCUACCAAGGCGACGCGUCUUAGCUGGUCAGUGAGGUUGAGCAGCGACACUGAGGCUGAGACGAGGCAGAGACGCCGACGAGAAGCAGCAGGGGGGAAUAUUGGACAAUGGGCGAAGGGCGGAUGCAGCAAGGCUGCGUGAGGGAUGAAGGUCUUAGGGUUGUAAAGCUCUUUUACCCGGGAGGAUAAUGACGGUACCGGUAGAAUAAGCACCGGCUAACUCCGUG
RNAcentral lists this ribosomal RNA (433 nucleotides) under uncultured bacterium. RNAcentral describes it as "partial 16S ribosomal RNA". It matches the Rfam family "Bacterial small subunit ribosomal RNA", at positions 29 to 507 of the family's 1533-position model. The record is from RNAcentral.